This is a small nucleolar RNA of Mastomys coucha (southern multimammate mouse), 128 nucleotides long. RefSeq annotates it as small nucleolar RNA SNORA5. Lineage: Eukaryota; Metazoa; Chordata; Mammalia; Rodentia; Muridae. The record is from RefSeq and is a predicted model, not a curated record. The transcript has a single exon.
AGCUGUAAAUCAAAUUUAGUUUUUAUCCUUUCAUGGUGGGAGCUGGCCCAGAUGGCUGCCACAGCAAGCUCUGCUGCUCAUGGACCCUGUGUCCCCUGCACUGGGGACAUUUAUAACUCUUGGAACUC